GGUAAAGUUAGAUUAAAUGACUAAAAAAAAUUGGAUGCCGAUGUCUGGUGGAGAUUAGUCAAGUAGCACUGACGUAGAGGGAAGUCUAUGAUUACUCUGAUAAUCGUUCAAUUUUGUUGAUAUACCACUUCAAAAAAUAAGAAAUUAUGUCGAUUACAUUGAUAAAUUUUUUGAUUAAAUGGUACAAGUAACUAAUCUACCUCUGGUAAAGUUAGAUUAAAUAACAAAAAAAAAUAAAAAAUUGGAUGCCGAUGUCUGGUCGAGAUUAGUCAAGUAGCACUGGCGUAGAGGGAAGUCUAUGAUUACUCUGAUAAUCGUUCAAUUUCGCUAAUAUACCACUUGAGAAAAUAAGAAAUUAUGUUGAUUUCAUCGACAAAAAAGUUUGGUUAAAUGAUAGAAGUAACUAACCUACCUCUGGUAAAGUUAGAUUAAAU
This 434-nucleotide long non-coding RNA is filed under the name Olea europaea (common olive). Its description in RNAcentral is "long non-coding RNA (OEUR_LNC009523)". The record is from RNAcentral. Lineage: Eukaryota; Viridiplantae; Streptophyta; Magnoliopsida; Lamiales; Oleaceae.